This 301-nucleotide ribosomal RNA is filed under the name uncultured bacterium. RNAcentral's name for it is "partial 16S ribosomal RNA". It matches the Rfam family "Bacterial small subunit ribosomal RNA", at positions 509 to 807 of the family's 1533-position model. The record is from RNAcentral.
CAGUCGCCGCGGUAAUACGUAGGGUGCGAGCGUUAAUCGGAAUUACUGGGCGUAAAGCGUGCGCAGGCAGUUUUGUAAGACAGGCGUGAAAUCCCCGGGCUCAACCUGGGAAUGGCGCUUGUGACUGCAAAGCUAGAGUGCGGCAGAGGGGGAUGGAAUUCCGCGUGUAGCAGUGAAAUGCGUAGAUAUGCGGAGGAACACCGAUGGCGAAGGCAAUCCCCUGGGCCUGCACUGACGCUCAUGCACGAAAGCGUGGGGAGCAAACAGGAUUAGAUACCCGCGUAGUCCCUGUCUCUUAUAC